Molecule: ribosomal RNA, 114 nt
Filed under: Acanthosepion pharaonis
Lineage: Eukaryota; Metazoa; Mollusca; Cephalopoda; Sepiida; Sepiidae
Source: RNAcentral
UUACGGCUACAUCACGUUGAAAUACCGGUUCCCGUACGAUCACCGAAGUUAAGCAACGUCGAGCCUGGUCAGUACCAAGAUGGGUGACCGCUUGUGAAUAUAUGGUGCUGUAAG